GAUGAACGCUAGCUACAGGCUUAACACAUGCAAGUCGAGGGGAAACGACAUCGAAAGCUUGCUUUUGAUGGGCGUCGACCGGCGCACGGGUGAGUAACGCGUAUCCAACCUGCCCAUCACUUGGGGAUAACCUUGCGAAAGUAAGACUAAUACCCAAUGAUAUCUCUAGAAGACAUCUGAAAGAGAUUAAAGAUUUAUCGGUGAUGGAUGGGGAUGCGUCUGAUUAGCUUGUUGGCGGGGUAACGGCCCACCAAGGCAACGAUCAGUAGGGGUUCUGAGAGGAAGGUCCCCCACAUUGGAACUGAGACACGGUCCAAACUCCUACGGGAGGCAGCAGUGAGGAAUAUUGGUCAAUGGGCGAGAGCCUGAACCAGCCAAGUAGCGUGCAGGAAGACGGCCCUAUGGGUGGUAAACUGCUUUUAUAAGGGAAUAAAGUGAGAGUCGUGACUCUUUUUGUAUGUACCUGAUGAAUAAGGACCGGCUAAUUCCGUG
RNAcentral lists this ribosomal RNA (492 nucleotides) under uncultured bacterium. RNAcentral's name for it is "partial 16S ribosomal RNA". It matches the Rfam family "Bacterial small subunit ribosomal RNA", at positions 28 to 507 of the family's 1533-position model. The record is from RNAcentral.